This 505-nucleotide ribosomal RNA is filed under the name uncultured bacterium. RNAcentral's name for it is "partial 16S ribosomal RNA". It matches the Rfam family "Bacterial small subunit ribosomal RNA", at positions 28 to 507 of the family's 1533-position model. The record is from RNAcentral.
GACGAACGCUGGCGGCGUGCCUAAUACAUGCAAGUAGAACGCACAGUUUAUACCGUAGCUUGCUACACCAUAGACGGUGAGUUGCGAACGGGUGAGUAACGCGUAGGUAACCUGCCUGGUAGCGGGGGAUAACUACUGGAAACGAUAGCUAAUACCGCAUAAUAUUAAUUAUUGCAUGAUAAUUAAUUGAAAGGUGCAAUUGCACCACUACCAGAUGGACCUGCGUUGUAUUAGCUAGUAGGUGAGGUAACGGCUCACCUAGGCGACGAUACAUAGCCGACCUGAGAGGGUGAUCGGCCACACUGGGACUGAGACACGGCCCAGACUCCUACGGGAGGCAGCAGUAGGGAAACUUCGGCAAUGGACGAAAGUCUGACCGAGCAACGCCGCGUGGGGGAAGAAGGGUUUCGGGUCGUAAAGCUCUGUUGUAAGGGAAGAACGGGUGUGAGAGUGGAAAGUUCACACUGUGACGGUAUCUUACCAGAAAGGGACGGCUAACUACGUG